UACAGAGGGUGCGAGCGUUAAUCGGAAUUACUGGGCGUAAAGCGCACGUAGUCGGCUUUGCAAGUCGGGUGUGAAAUCCCCGGGCUCAACCCGGGAACUGCGUCCGAUACUGGAAGGCUUGAAUCCGGGAGAGGGAUGCGGAAUUCCAGGUGUAGCGGUGAAAUGCGUAGAUAUCUGGAGGAACACCGGUGGCGAAGGCGGCAUCCUGGACCGGCAUUGACGCUGAGGCGCGAAAGCCAGGGGAGCAAACAGG
Molecule: ribosomal RNA, 253 nt
Filed under: uncultured bacterium
Lineage: Bacteria
Description: partial 16S ribosomal RNA
Rfam family: Bacterial small subunit ribosomal RNA
Source: RNAcentral